This 79-nucleotide transfer RNA is filed under the name Pseudomonas sp. RNAcentral's name for it is "tRNA-Asp(gtc)". It matches the Rfam family "tRNA". Rfam says of the family: Transfer RNA (tRNA) molecules are approximately 80 nucleotides in length. Their secondary structure includes four short double-helical elements and three loops (D, anti-codon, and T loops). Lineage: Bacteria; Pseudomonadati; Pseudomonadota; Gammaproteobacteria; Pseudomonadales; Pseudomonadaceae. RNAcentral also lists the same sequence under 1 other name. The record is from RNAcentral.
GGAGCGGUAGUUCGGUCGGCCAGAAUACUGGCCUGUCACGCCGGGGGUCGCAGGUUCGAGCCCCGUGUCCGCUCCGCCA